This 433-nucleotide ribosomal RNA is filed under the name uncultured bacterium. Its description in RNAcentral is "partial 16S ribosomal RNA". It matches the Rfam family "Bacterial small subunit ribosomal RNA", at positions 29 to 507 of the family's 1533-position model. The record is from RNAcentral.
AACGAACGCUGGCGGCAUGCCUAACACAUGCAAGUCGAACGAGACCUUCGGGUCUAGUGGCGCACGGGUGCGUAACGCGUGGGAACCUGCCCUUAGGGUCGGAAUAACUCCCCGAAAGGGGUGCUAAUACCGGAUAAUGUCUUCGGACCAAAGAUUUAUCGCCUUUGGAUGGGCCCGCGUUGGAUUAGCUAGUUGGUAGGGUAAAAGCCUACCAAGGCGACGAUCCAUAGCUGGUCUGUGAGGAUGAUCAGCCACACUGGGACUGGGACACGGCCCAGACUCCUACGGGAUGCAGCAGUGCGUAAUAUUGGACAGUGGGCGAAAGCCUGAUCCAGCGAUGCCGGGAGAGUGAUGAAGGCCUUAGAGUUGUAAAGCUCUUUUACCCGGGCUGAUAAUGACGGUACCGGGAGAAUAAGCUCCGGCUAACUCCGUG